UGGGGAAUUUUGCGCAAUGGGCGAAAGCCUGAACUAGCAACACCGCGUGUGCGAAGAAGGCCUUCGGGUUGUAAAGCACUUUUUGAGAGGAUGAGGAAGGACGGUACUCUCAGAAUAAGUCUCGGCUAACUACGUGCCAGCAGCCGCGGUAACACGUAGGAGGCAAACGUUAUCCGGAUUUACUGGGCGUAAAGCGCGUGUAGGUGGUUUGGUAAGUAGAGCGUGAAAGCUCCUGGCUCAACUGGGAGAGGUCGUUCUAAACUGCCGGACUAGAGGAUGGUAGAGGGAGGUGGAAUUCCUAGUGUAGCGGUGAAAUGCGUAGAUAUUAGGAGGAACACCAAUUGCGUAGGCAGCUUACUGAGCCGACACUGACGCUGAGGCACGAAAGCGUGGGGAGCGAACA
RNAcentral lists this ribosomal RNA (403 nucleotides) under uncultured prokaryote. RNAcentral's name for it is "bacterial SSU rRNA". It matches the Rfam family "Bacterial small subunit ribosomal RNA", at positions 355 to 774 of the family's 1533-position model. The record is from RNAcentral.